CUAUCGGAGUUCGCCUAAGCCAUGCAAGUCAGGGCAGCUAGUCUGCCCGGCGAACGGCUCAGUAACACGUGGGUAACCUACCCUAGGGUGGGGGAUAACCUCGGGAAACUGAGGGUAAUACCCCAUAGGGGAUGGGUACUGGAAGGUCCCUUCCCUGAAAGCCUUCGGGCGCCCUAGGAUGGGCCUGCGGCGGAUUAGGUAGUUGGUGGGGUAACGGCCCACCAAGCCUAAGAUCCGUACCGGCUGUGAGAGCAGGAGCCGGGAGAAGGGGACUGAGACAAGGCCCCUAGCCCUACGGGGUGCAGCAGGCGCGAAACCUCCGCAAUGCCCGAAAGGGUGACGGGGGGACUCCGAGUGGCAGCUCUGCUGCCUUUUCCGGAGUUUAAAACGCUCCGGGAAUAAGGGCUGGGCAAGUCCCGUGGCAGCCGCCGCGGUAAUACGGGCAGCUCAAGUGGCGCCCACGCAUAUUGGGCCUAAAGCGUCCGUAGCCGGUCCAGGGGAGUCCCUGGUGAAAUCGGACGGCUUAACCGUUCGGCUUGCCAGGGAAACCACUGGACUAGGGACCGGGAGAGGUCGGAGGUAUUCCCGGGGUAGGGGUGAAAUCCUAUAAUCCCGGGAGGACCUACGGUGGCGAAGGCGUCCCGACUGGAACGGGUCCUGACGGUGAGGGACGAAGGCCAGGGGAGCAAACCGGAUUAGAUACCCGGGUAGUCCUGGCUGUAAAUGAUGCGGACUUGGUGUCGCAUAACCUACNAGGUUAUGCAGGUGCCGGAGGGAAGCCGUUAAGUCCGUCGNCUGGGGAGUACGGNCGCAAGGCUGAAACUUAAAGGAAUNGGCGGGGGAGUACUACNAGGGGNGGAGGCUGCGGUUUAAUCGGAUNCAACGNCGNNCAUCUCACCGGGGGCGACAGCANGAUGAAGGUCCGUCUGAAGGGCUUACCAGACACGCUGAGAGGUGGUGCAUGGACACCAUCAGNUNGUGCCGUGAGGUGUNCUGUUAAGUCAGGCAACUAGCGAGACCCGC
RNAcentral lists this ribosomal RNA (1023 nucleotides) under uncultured euryarchaeote. RNAcentral describes it as "bacterial SSU rRNA". It matches the Rfam family "Archaeal small subunit ribosomal RNA", at positions 30 to 1055 of the family's 1478-position model. The record is from RNAcentral. Lineage: Archaea; Methanobacteriati; Methanobacteriota.